CGCCUUGCCAGCCGCUCAGAAACUCAAAGGAAUUGACGGGGGCCCGCACAAGCGGUGGAGUAUGUGGUUUAAUUCGAUGCAACGCGAAGAACCUUACCUGGUCUUGACAUCCCGGAGACCCUUAGGAAACUAGGGGGUGCUUCCAUCUGGAAGAAUCUGGAGACAGGUGCUGCAUGGCUGUCGUCAGCUCGUGUCGUGAGAUGUUGGGUUAAGUCCCGCAACGAGCGCAACCCUUGCCUUUAGUUGCCAGCAGUUCGGCUGGGCACUCUAAAGGGACUGCCGGUGUUAAACCGGAGGAAGGUGGGGAUGACGUCAAGUCCUCAUGGCCUUUAUGACCAGGGCUACACACGUACUACAAUGGCCGAUACAAAGGGCAGCGACACUGCGAGGUGAAGCCAAUCCCGUAAAAUCGGUCUCAGUCCGGAUUGGAGUCUGCAACUCGACUCCAUGAAGUUGGAAUCGCUAGUAAUCGUGGAUCAGCAUGCCACGGUGAAUACGUUCCCGGGCCUU
Molecule: ribosomal RNA, 510 nt
Filed under: uncultured Desulfobulbus sp.
Lineage: Bacteria; Pseudomonadati; Thermodesulfobacteriota; Desulfobulbia; Desulfobulbales; Desulfobulbaceae
Description: bacterial SSU rRNA
Rfam family: Bacterial small subunit ribosomal RNA
Source: RNAcentral